RNAcentral lists this unclassified non-coding RNA (263 nucleotides) under Glomeromycotina sp. RNAcentral's name for it is "partial contains small subunit ribosomal RNA, internal transcribed spacer 1, and 5.8S ribosomal RNA". The stretch from base 1 to 47 matches the Rfam family "Eukaryotic small subunit ribosomal RNA", at positions 1785 to 1831 of the family's 1831-position model. The record is from RNAcentral. Lineage: Eukaryota; Fungi; Glomeromycota.
AAAGUCGUAACAAGGUUUCCGUAGGUGAACCUGCGGAAGGAUCAUUACCAAAUCCAAAACUUCAAUCAACACCCAAAGUGAACUGUGAAUGGUUUCGUUCCCUCUUCUCCUGCUCUGUGUGCCUGCACGCGUGCGUGUGGGAGGAGGGAAUGUUUACAAUUUUUCCAACCCCUUUUCAACCUAUACAAUACCUUUCUCAAUGCUGAAAGCAAAACAAAAAACGAAACAUGAGACAACUUUUAACGGUGGAUCUCUUGGCUCGU